GUUCUGGGAUAGCUACGCACGUGCCCGACUUCUAUGAGUAUCCACAUGAGGCCUGAUUUGAUCAAGAGCUUUUUGAUCUCUCUGGGAUGCUAGCUCUCUUGCAGAGAUAGCUUUCUUGAUGGUUGAUUAGGAUCUUCUUCAAUCUUUAAGAUUCUCUCAAAGAAGAAGAAGAUUAGGAGGAAAAAGAUGAGGAAGAAGAAACUAUGAGAAUUCCUUCUCUCUUCUCUCUAAAAUACCUCACGCCCA
RNAcentral lists this long non-coding RNA (246 nucleotides) under Elaeis guineensis (African oil palm). Its description in RNAcentral is "long non-coding RNA (EGUI_LNC035986)". Lineage: Eukaryota; Viridiplantae; Streptophyta; Magnoliopsida; Arecales; Arecaceae. The record is from RNAcentral.